Hyla sarda is the source of this 442-nucleotide long non-coding RNA. RefSeq lists it as uncharacterized. The record is from RefSeq and is a predicted model, not a curated record. The transcript has 3 exons. NCBI's taxonomy places the organism in Eukaryota, Metazoa, Chordata, Amphibia, Anura, Hylidae.
CUGUCACUCACCGUUACAAGGAGUGAUGGGAGAUAUAUAUACGUCAUAGGGGCCUCCAAAGGUCCUGAAGCACAAAACCAUAGAGUUCACCUGAUCACAUGACCCGCAGGUCCUGCUACGCUAUGGACAGGACACCAAAUUGGAAUGCUUCCGCUUGAAAAGGUGCCACUGAGGGUGUGAUACAUACGAGCUGCUGGAUAGCUACCUAGGAGAUGGCCCUGAAAUACAUUAAAAGCUGUCAUUAAAAGGGUAUCUUCAUAUGCUGUUUAGAAUAGACAAUAAGACACCCUGGUCAUUGUGGUCUGUCUUAUAGAGAUAUCUUACAUAAGUCAGCGCUCAAAUUAAUUCUAUGAAUCAACUUUGUGACUCAUGAUUCAGCUUUCAAUUAGUAAUGUGUUUUCUUUUAAAAGUUUUAAUUACUUGACUGUUGUUCUUUACAAAU